GACGAACGCUGGCGGCGUGCUUAACACAUGCAAGUCGAACGGAAAGGCCCUGCUUUUGUGGGGUGCUCGAGUGGCGAACGGGUGAGUAACACGUGAGUAACCUGCCCUUGACUUUGGGAUAACUUCAGGAAACUGGGGCUAAUACCGGAUAGGAGCUCCUGCUGCAUGGUGGGGGUUGGAAAGUUUCGGCGGUUGGGGAUGGACUCGCGGCUUAUCAGCUUGUUGGUGGGGUAGUGGCUUACCAAGGCUUUGACGGGUAGCCGGCCUGAGAGGGUGACCGGCCACAUUGGGACUGAGAUACGGCCCAGACGCCUACGGGAGGCAGCAGUGGGGGAUAUUGCACAAUGGGCGGAAGCCUGAUGCAGCAACGCCGCGUGCGGGAUGACGGCCUUCGGGUUGUAAACCGCUUUCGCCUGUGACGAAGCGUGAGUGACGGUAAUGGGUAAAGAAGCACCGGCUAACUACGUG
This 468-nucleotide ribosomal RNA is filed under the name uncultured bacterium. Its description in RNAcentral is "partial 16S ribosomal RNA". It matches the Rfam family "Bacterial small subunit ribosomal RNA", at positions 28 to 507 of the family's 1533-position model. The record is from RNAcentral.